UUGAAUUUGGGGAUUUUUUUUAAAAGUGUCACAUAUUGGGAAUUUGAGUUUCAAAGUGUGGCAAUUAUGUAAAAAGCCCUAUGAUGGUAUCUCGCAUCAUUUAAAAUAUGCUAUAACUUUGUUUCUAAAUUCUAAAUCAAAAAAUCUGAAGAAGAAACAAUAGCUAAGCUACAUACCCUAUACAAUCCCAAAUCAACCAUAUAUACAAUCCCAAAUUAGAUUUUUAAAAUACUGCAUAGUUGGACCGGUUCGACUGUUCGGUCCGAUUUUUAAACUCUGCAUAGUGGGAAUUAGAUUUCCUAAUCCCUAUACAAUCUCAAAUCAACAGCUGAUAUUCAUUACCGCAUGAAACUGCAUGUAAGCUUAACUGCAGAAAAUCAUGAUCUGGCUUCAUGAGUAGUAGUUUUUUUUUUUUU
This 416-nucleotide long non-coding RNA is filed under the name Trifolium pratense (red clover). RNAcentral's name for it is "long non-coding RNA (TPRA_LNC001431)". The record is from RNAcentral. Lineage: Eukaryota; Viridiplantae; Streptophyta; Magnoliopsida; Fabales; Fabaceae.